ACAACCAUAUCCAUUUUGUCUGGCAGCUGCCUGAUGGCUGGGAUGACUGCUUAUAGUACAGUCUAGCCAUAAUCAGUGCUGCCCUCACUUGUUUGACAUGCCAAGGAUGAAGAAGGAAGGGCCAUGUAACAGGAGGUGUAUGUGCCACAAUGGGCAUUAAGGAAGCCCAAAUUACUGCACUGAUCAUCUCAUGCAAGCCAUGGAAAGACUGACAGGAGUAUGCUCUCUCUUUGCAAACACUUCUUCAUACUUUCUUUUUUUAAUGCAGUACCAAUUUUGGUCUGUCGUAUCUUUCCUUUAUAAACUCUAACCAUGGAGAAAGAGAAGACACACGGAAAAAUCUGUUGAAUUCAUAAGUUAAGAACUUGGGGAGCAGGAACAGGCAGGAUGGUAUAAGAAAUGGCUUUCCACAUGUUGCAGGCAGAAAACUGUAAAAAUAUGGCUGUUGCCUUGUGGGAAAGAUGGAGGCAGGGUGAAGCAUCUUGGCACAGCAGUCCAGAAUAUUAAGUAGCUCCCUUGCCAGCACAAGAAUAACGGAAAAGAGGCACAUGAGGUCAGGUAGGAGAAGACAAAGGCAGCAGGUUGUGCAACAUAGUAGGAGAAAACUGGGUGCUGUUGAGUAGAAGCUGCAGUGGAGACUUCCGUCUCUUGCAGGUCUCAGAUCUCUUCCACUGGAGCACAAUAGAGAGAUCUGCCUCCAAGAACUAUUGUAGGAAAUCUGGUAAUCCUAUUGCAGAUAAACCUCAACUGCUGUUGCUGCUAUUUCCAUCACACUUGGAAAUCAUCCAGCAAAAUGACAGGCUGCAAAAAAGCUUAGCAGUAGUUGUUUGCCAGCCUAAUAAAUUGAAGAGACUCUUGAGCAUUACAAAGGAAUUGUUUUGCCUCUCUUUGUCACCUCCUGUAGAAUCAAUGAUUUUAAAAGACCUAGACCUGUUUCAGUACCCUGAAGAGCUAAGGCAUUGACAGUGGCUGCACUGUGGCAGCUGCACAUUUCACCUACACAGCGCUGGUGUGCAAGCAGCACAGGUAAUUUAUACAGAAGACUCACAUGAGAGCAAACAGGGAAAAAUGCAUAAGUAGCAACUUGGUCUAUCCAAGUAUAAAAGCAUGAGCUUACCUUUAGACUCUCAAGUUUUAGCAAGGGAUAAUCUACUGCUCUGAUUCACCUUCUUAAAGGCUGCUUUCUCCACUGAAAGAAUGUCUCAGAAUACAGAAAACAUCUGUCUGUUGAUGAAUACUCUGCAAUGAGGCCUUAAACCCUUGAGCUCGUCAACAUAUGAAAGCACAUUUGAACAGCUCAGCUCAAGAACAAAACAGAUGGAAAGAGACAAAGGAGUCAUUCUUCACAUCAUGGAGCACUAAACUCUUUAUUAUAACAAGCACAGGGAAAAAAAAAAAGAAAAAAAAAGACAGGGAUUAAGAAAUGCAGAGCAGACUAUCCAUGCUAGAGAAACUGCAAGGGCUCAUUUCCUAAUCUCUAGAAAGGUAUUGUAGUGCCUAAGAGGGUUAAGAUAUACCCCCUGAUAUUCGGAUCAGUCAGAAAGAUUUUUGAAAAAGAAUCAUUAUGAGUCUUAAGCCUGUUUCUUGCUAAUGAGACAAACUCCCAAAACGUAUAGUGACAUGAAAAACAUGU
Neopsephotus bourkii (Bourke's parrot) is the source of this 1633-nucleotide long non-coding RNA. RefSeq lists it as uncharacterized. The record is from RefSeq and is a predicted model, not a curated record. The transcript is spliced from 3 exons. NCBI's taxonomy places the organism in Eukaryota, Metazoa, Chordata, Aves, Psittaciformes, Psittacidae.